RNAcentral lists this ribosomal RNA (439 nucleotides) under uncultured bacterium. RNAcentral's name for it is "partial 16S ribosomal RNA". It matches the Rfam family "Bacterial small subunit ribosomal RNA", at positions 339 to 795 of the family's 1533-position model. The record is from RNAcentral.
CUACGGGGCGCUGCAGUGGGGAAUAUUGGACAAUGGGCGAAAGCCUGAUCCAGCAAUGCCGCGUGAGUGAUGAAGGCCUUAGGGUUGUAAAGCUCUUUUACCCGGGAUGAUAAUGACAGUACCGGGAGAAUAAGCUCCGGCUAACUCCGUGCCAGCAGCCGCGGUAAUACGGAGGGAGCUAGCGUUGUUCGGAAUUACUGGGCGUAAAGCGCACGUAGGCGGCUUUGUAAGUUAGAGGUGAAAGCCUGGAGCUCAACUCCAGAAUUGCCUUUAAGACUGCAUCGCUCGAAUCCAGGAGAGGUCAGUGGAAUUCCGAGUGUAGAGGUGAGAUUCGUAGAUAUUCGGAAGAACACCAGUGGCGAAGGCGGCUGACUGGACUGGUAUUAACGCUGAGGUGCGAAAGCGUGGGGAGCAAACAGGAUUAGAUACCCGCGUAGUC